Molecule: ribosomal RNA, 713 nt
Filed under: uncultured Enterococcus sp.
Lineage: Bacteria; Bacillati; Bacillota; Bacilli; Lactobacillales; Enterococcaceae
Description: bacterial SSU rRNA
Rfam family: Bacterial small subunit ribosomal RNA
Source: RNAcentral
GUCGAACGCUUCUUUUCCCCCGGAGCUUGCUCCACCGGGAAAAGAGGAUGCGAACGGGUGAGUAACACGUGGGUAACCUGCCCAUCAGAAGGGGAUAACACUUGGAAACAGGUGCUAAUACCGUAUAACAAUCGAAACCGCAUGGUUUCGUUUUGAAAGGCGCUUUACGGUGCCGCUGAUGGAUGGACCCGCGGUGCAUUAGCUAGUUGGUGAGGUAACGGCUCACCAAGGCCACGAUGCAUAGCCGACCUGAGAGGGUGAUCGGCCACAUUGGGACUGAGACACGGCCCAAACUCCUACGGGAGGCAGCAGUAGGGAAUCUUCGGCAAUGGACGAAAGUCUGACCGAGCAACGCCGCGUGAGUGAAGAGGGUUUUCGGAUCGUAAAACUCUGUUGUUAGAGAAGAACAAGGGUGAGAGUAACUGUUCACCCCUUGACGGUAUCUAACCAGAAAGCCACGGCUAACUACGUGCCAGCAGCCGCGGUAAUACGUAGGUGGCAAGCGUUGUCCGGAUUUAUUGGGCGUAAAGCGAGCGCAGGCGGUUUCUUAAGUCUGAUGUGAAAGCCCCCGGCUCAACCGGGGAGGGUCAUUGGAAACUGGGAGACUUGAGUGCAGAAGAGGAGAGUGGAAUUCCAUGUGUAGCGGUGAAAUGCGUAGAUAUAUGGAGGAACACCAGUGGCGAAGCGGCUCUCUGGUCUGUAACUGACGCUGA